AGAGUUUGAUCCUGGCUCAGGACGAACGCUGGCGGCGUGCCUAACACAUGCAAGUCGAGCGAUGAAGCCCUUCGGGGUGGAUUAGCGGCGGACGGGUGAGUAACACGUGGGUAACCUGCCUCAAAGAGGGGGAUAGCCUCCCGAAAGGGAGAUUAAUACCGCAUAACAUUGGUUUUUCGCAUGAAGAACCAAUUAAAGGAGCAAUCCGCUUUGAGAUGGACCCGCGGCGCAUUAGCUAGUUGGUGAGGUAAAGGCUCACCAAGGCGACGAUGCGUAGCCGACCUGAGAGGGUGAUCGGCCACAUUGGAACUGAGACACGGUCCAGACUCCUACGGGAGGCAGCAGUGGGGAAUAUUGCACAAUGGGCGAAAGCCUGAUGCAGCAACGCCGCGUGAGUGAUGAAGGCCUUCGGGUUGUAAAGCUCUGUCUUUUGGGACGAUAAUGACGGUACCAAAGGAGGAAGCCACGGCUAACUACGUGCCAGCAGCCGCGGUAAUACGUAGGUGGCGAGCGUUGUCCGGAUUUACUGGGCGCAAAGGAUGCGUAGGCGGAUAUUUAAGUGAGAUGUGAAAUACCCGAGCUUAACUUGGGUGCUGCAUUUCAAACUGGAUAUCUAGAGUGCGGGAGAGGAGAAUGGAAUUCCUAGUGUAGCGGUGAAAUGCGUAGAGAUUAGGAAGAACACCAGUGGCGAAGGCGAUUCUCUGGACCGUAACUGACGCUGAGGCAUGAAAGCGUGGGUAGCAAACAGGAUUAGAUACCCUGGUAGUCCACGCCGUAAACGAUGAGUACUAGGUGUAGGA
Molecule: ribosomal RNA, 800 nt
Filed under: uncultured bacterium
Lineage: Bacteria
Description: bacterial SSU rRNA
Rfam family: Bacterial small subunit ribosomal RNA
Source: RNAcentral